Non-coding RNA from Podarcis lilfordi (Lilford's wall lizard), 74 nucleotides. The record is from the annotation of a GenBank genome assembly. NCBI's taxonomy places the organism in Eukaryota, Metazoa, Chordata, Lepidosauria, Squamata, Lacertidae.
GGCUAAUAUAGCUCAGGUGGUAAAGUAUGGGACUCUUAAUCCCAGGGUCGUGGGUUCAAACCCCACACUGGGCA